GGAUGAUGCCAUGGGUACUUCUCUGAGACACCGAUCCCUCAGCCACCGUCUAAGCCACCCAGCACCGCCGCCCAGCUCGGUGCUCGACGGCCCCCAUGCCUACCUCCACCGCCGCUGCUCCGCCGCCUCACCGCGCUCUAUCCAUUGCGGACGAUCCUCGCGCCUGGAAGGACGACGAGUCGGUGGACAACAGCAAAUGCAGCUUUUUAGUGGUAGCUCUCUGUCCCUGUCUCGUCUGCUUCAUUUUGCUUCUCAUCGUUCUGUCUAUCGUCCUCAUUGUGAAGUUUCGUAUCUUUUGUCACGUUCACACUCUCUCCGCUCUGUUCUACAAGAAAAAUUGCUAGCUCCCAGCCCUAGGGGGUUGCAUUCAGUUUCUCUUACUUUUAAUUUGCGUGAAAAAUUGUCUGAUUUGAAUUUCAGUGGGUUUUCGUCCCUUUUCCUAUUGUCCAAUUAUGAACUGCAUGAAAAGGCAUUGAAGUUCAAUUCCAGAGGUUUUGCUGGGGUUUCACGCUGGCACAAGGUUGGUUUAGGAGAAAAAAUGAUAAUUUUGAACUGUAGGGGGUUUUCUGGGGUUCCCAAUGGUGAUUCAGUUUCUGGUACUGAGCUCGAUGGUGAGGAAGGUGGUGGGGAGAUUGAUGAUGAUGAUGAUGAUGGCGGUGACUGGAAUGUGUGUGAGGAUGUUAAUGUUAAAUCAGAAGCAGAUCCUGAAGAGGUUGCUAGAGUCUGUAAGGUUAUUGAAGAAUUGUUCGCAUUGGAUCGGAAUAUGGAGGCAGUUUUAGACGAAUGUGUGGUUAAUUUAUCACAUGAUCUGGUGGUAGAUGUGCUUGAAAAGUUCCGUCAUGCUAGGAAGCCAGCAUUUCGUUUUUUCAACUGGGCAGGGCAAAAGCCUGGGUAUUCUCAUGAUUCAAGGACUUGUAAUAAGAUGAUGGAGAUACUUGGCAGGACAAAACAGUUUGAGACCAUGAUGGCUUUGCUCGAGGAGAUGGGUGAAAAAGGGCUUCUCACAAUGGAGACAUUUACAAUUGCAAUUAAAGCUUUUGCUGCUGCAAGGGAGAGGAAGAAAGCUGUUGGGAUAUUUGAGUUGAUGAAGAGGUAUAAGUUUCGGGCAGGUGUUGAUACCAUCAAUUAUUUGCUUGAUAACCUUGGUAGGGCAAAACUUGGUAAGGAAGCUCAGGCCCUAUUUGAGAUGCUCAAGGAUAGAUUUUCACCAGAUUUACGGACUUAUUCAGUAUUGCUUAAUGGAUGGUGCAGGGUAAAAAACUUGCUGGAGGCUGGAAAGAUAUGGAAUGAAAUGAUUGAUAAGGGUUUUAAGCCUGAUAUUAUUGCCCAUAACACAAUGCUUGAAGGGUUGCUAAGGUGUAGAAAGAAGUCUGAUGCGAUUAAGUUGUUUGAGGUCAUGAAGGCUAAGGGCCCAUCUCCGAAUGUUCGAAGCUAUACCAUUUUGAUCAGGGACUUAUGCAAGCAAACAAAGAUGAAAGAAGCUAUUGAAUACUUUGAUGAAAUGCUUAAUUAUGGCUGCCAGCCGGAUGCUGCUGUUUACACAUGCUUGAUCACUGGGUUUGGAAACCUGAAGAAGAUGGACAAGGUGUAUGGGUUGUUGAAGGAAAUGAAGGAGAAGGGUUGCCCACCAGACGGACGGACCUACAAUGCUUUGAUCAAAUUGAUGACUAAUCGGAAAAUGCCAGAUGAUGCAGUUAGGAUUUACAAGAAGAUGGUUCAGAGUGGCAUUCAGCCAACUAUCCAUACCUAUAACAUGAUGAUGAAAUCAUAUUUUUUCACAAGAAACUAUGAAAUGGGUUGUGCAGUUUGGGAGGAGAUGGGGCGGAAGGGGUGUUGUCCUGAUGAUAAUUCUUAUACUGUUUUUAUUGGAGGGCUUAUAAGGCAUGGACGGUCAGAAGAAGCUUGUAAGUAUCUGGAGGAGAUGAUAGAUAAAGGAAUGAAAACUCCUCAGCUUGAUUACAAUAAGUUUGCAGCUGAUUUCUCUAGGGCUGGGAAACCUGACAUAUUGGAGGAGUUGGCUCAAAAGAUGAAGUUCUCUGGUAAAUUUGAAGUCUCCAAUGUCUUUGCCAGAUGGGCUGAAAUGAUGAAGAGAAGGGUCAAGAGAAGAGAUCAUGUUAAACUUGACAGGCAGUGUGCUUGAGUUUCAAAGAUUUCAAGGAUUACACUGGUACUAAGAGGGAUUGAUUACUCUCACUUACACUGGUUGGCUAAAUUAUCACAACCCCGAUGACAUUGGUGGUUUAAAGAUCUGCUAAUUGUUCUUUGUCGUGACACACCCAUGGACAUCAAUGGCUUGCGAGGUCGGUGCAGCCCGUUCCCUUGGUCAUCAAUCAGUUCUUUUGGCCUUUCCUCAAAGAUCAGUGAAGCCAUAUUAAAAGGCACUGCUGAGGAAUGAGAGGACCUCAGAGUCACUGCUGAGCUUACUGUCCAGAACUGUCAGGCCGAAGUCCCCCUAAUUAUGAUCAAGUGUGCACACUAAUGUUGGACAGAUCGAAACAGAGGGAGAACCGAGGGAGAGAGAGAAGGAGAGAAGGAGAGAGAAGAAGGGAGAAGAAAAGAGACUGCUGCUGAACAGAACCGGGAGUAGAACAGAGUAGACAAAGAGGCAACAGAAAUCAGAUAAGAACAGAGUGAGAAACAGAAAGAGAAGGGAAGGAGAGGAAGAAGAAGAAGAAGAAGAGAAGAGGGAGAAGGUGCAUGAGAGAGAGGGAAAACCAAACUGUAUUCUGUUUCAAAUUUGAUGACUAUUUUAUACAACACAACUGCCCAAGAUUACAUAA
RNA transcript from Malania oleifera, 2780 nucleotides. It is a transcript of the gene named pentatricopeptide repeat-containing protein At3g62470, mitochondrial-like, with no coding region annotated. The transcript has 3 exons. NCBI's taxonomy places the organism in Eukaryota, Viridiplantae, Streptophyta, Magnoliopsida, Santalales, Ximeniaceae. The record is from RefSeq and is a predicted model, not a curated record.